GAUGAACGCUGGCGGCGUGCCUAAUACAUGCAAGUCGAGCGAACGGACGAGAAGCUUGCUUCUCUGAUGAUAGCGGCGGACGGGUGAGUAACACGUGGAUAACCUACCUAUAAGACUGGGAUAACUUCGGGAAACCGGAGCUAAUACCGGAUAAUAUUUUGAACCGCAUGGUUCAAAAGUGAAAGACGGUCUUGCUGUCACUUAUAGAUGGAUCCGCGCUGCAUUAGCUAGUUGGUAAGGUAACGGCUUACCAAGGCAACGAUGCAUAGCCGACCUGAGAGGGUGAUCGGCCACACUGGAACUGAGACACGGUCCAGACUCCUACGGGAGGCAGCAGUAGGGAAUCUUCCGCAAAGGGCGAAAGCCUGACGGAGCAACGCCGCGUGAGUGAUGAAGGUCUUCGGAUCGUAAAACUCUGUUAUUAGGGAAGAACAUAUGUGUAAGUAACUGUGCACAUCUUGACGGUACCUAAUCAGAAAGCCACGGCUAACUACGUG
RNAcentral lists this ribosomal RNA (497 nucleotides) under uncultured bacterium. RNAcentral's name for it is "partial 16S ribosomal RNA". It matches the Rfam family "Bacterial small subunit ribosomal RNA", at positions 28 to 507 of the family's 1533-position model. The record is from RNAcentral.